ACUAAGCGUACACGGUGGAUGCCCUGGCAGUCAGAGGCGAUGAAGGACGUGCUAAUCUGCGAUAAGCGCCGGUAAGGUGAUAUGAACCGUUAUAACCGGCGAUUUCCGAAUGGGGAAACCCAGUGUGAUUCGUCACACUAUCAUUAACUGAAUCCAUAGGUUAAUGAGGCGAACCGGGGGAACUGAAACAUCUAAGUACCCCGAGGAAAAGAAAUCAACCGAGAUUCCCCCAGUAGCGGCGAGCGAACGGGGAGGAGCCCAGAGCCUGAAUCAGCAUGUGUGUUAGUGGAAGCGUCUGGAAAGGCGCGCGAUACAGGGUGACAGCCCCGUACACAAAAGCGCAUGUGUUGUGAGCUCGAUGAGUAGGGCGGGACACGUGGUAUCCUGUCUGAAUAUGGGGGGACCAUCCUCCAAGGCUAAAUACUCCUGACUGACCGAUAGUGAACCAGUACCGUGAGGGAAAGGCGAAAAGAACCCCGGCGAGGGGAGUGAAAAAGAACCUGAAACCGUGUACGUACAAGCAGUGGGAGCNUGAGGGAAAGGCGAAAAGAACCCCGGCGAGGGGAGUGAAAAAGAACCUGAAACCGUGUACGUACAAGCAGUGGGAGCCCCACCACUAAGCCAGUGGUGAACUCCACAUACGCAUCCUUUGCUGAGGAUACGGUUAACGGAGCGCAAGCGACGUUCAACCGCAAAAGAAGCAGAGGGGGCUUAGUGGUGGGGUGACUGCGUACCUUUUGUAUAAUGGGUCAGCGACUUAUAUUCUGUAGCAAGGUUAACCGUAUAGGGGAGCCGGAGGGAAACCGAGUCUUAAUUGGGCGUUAAGUUGCAGGGUAUAGACCCGAAACCCGGUGAUCUAGCCAUGGGCAGGUUNAGGGAAACCGAGUCUUAACCGGGCGUUAAGUUGCAGGGUAUAGACCCGAAACCCGGUGAUCUAGCCAUGGGCAGGUUGAAGGUUGGGUAACACUAACUGGAGGACCGAACCGACUAAUGUUGAAAAAUUAGCGGAUGACCUGUGGCUGGGGGUGAAAGGCCAAUCAAACCGGGAGAUAGCUGGUUCUCCCCGAAAGCUAUUUAGGUAGCGCCUCGUGAAUUCAUCUCCGGGGGUAGAGCACUGUUUCGGCUAGGGGGCCAUCCCGGCUUACCAACCCGAUGCAAACUGCGAAUACCGGAGAAUGUUAUCACGGGAGACACACGGCGGGUGCUAACGUCCGUCGUGAAGAGGGAAACAACCCAGACCGCCAGCUAAGGUCCCAAAGUCAUGGUUAAGUGGGAAACGAUGUGGGAAGGCCCAGACAGCCAGGAUGUUGGCUUAGAAGCAGCCAUCAUUUAAAGAAAGCGUAAUAGCUCACUGGUCGAGUCGGCCUGCGCGGAAGAUGUAACGGGGCUAAACCAUGCACCGAAGCUGCGGCAGCGAGUAAUAGCUCACUGGUCGAGUCGGCCUGCGCGGAAGAUGUAACGGGGCUAAACCAUGCACCGAAGCUGCGGCAGCGAACGUAUCACUUAAAGCGAUUCAGCGGGUUACGAUUGACGGAGCGAAGCGACGUCAAAGCGUAUACAAAGUCGAGUCGGUUUAAGGAUACGUUCGUUGGGUAGGGGAGCGUUCUGUAAGCCUGUGAAGGUGGCCUGUGAGGGUUGCUGGAGGUAUCAGAAGUGCGAAUGCUGUUGGGUAGGGGAGCGUUCUGUAAGCCUGUGAAGGUGGCCUGUGAGGGUUGCUGGAGGUAUCAGAAGUGCGAAUGCUGACAUAAGUAACGAUAAAGCGGGUGAAAAGCCCGCUCGCCGGAAGACCAAGGGUUCCUGUCCAACGUUAAUCGGGGCAGGGUGAGUCGACCCCUAAGGCGAGGCCGAAAGGCGUAGUCGAUGGGAAACGGGUUAAUAUUCCCGUACUUGGUGUUACUGCGAAGGGGGGACGGAGAAGGCUAUGUUGGCCGGGCGACGGUUGUCCCGGUUUAAGCGUGUAGGUGUGUGUUCCAGGUAAAUCCGGUUCACUUUAACACUGAGGCGUGAUGACGAGGCACUACGGUGCUGAAGCAACAAAUGCCCUGCUUCCAGGAAAAGCCUCUAAGCAUCAGGUAACAUCAAAUCGUACCCCAAACCGACACAGGUGGUCAGGUAGAGAAUACCAAGGCGCUUGAGAGAACUCGGGUGAAGGAACUAGGCAAAAUGGUGCCGUAACUUCGGGAGAAGGCACGCUGACAUGUAGGUGAAGUGAUUUACUCAUGGAGCUGAAGUCAGUCGAAGAUACCAGCUGGCUGCAACUGUUUAUUAAAAACACAGCACUGUGCAAACACGAAAGUGGACGUAUACGGUGUGACGCCUGCCCGGUGCCGGAAGGUUAAUUGAUGGGGUCAGCGCAAGCGAAGCUCCUGAUCGAAGCCCCGGUAAACGGCGGCCGUAACUAUAACGGUCCUAAGGUAGCGAAAUUCCUUGUCGGGUAAGUUCCGACCUGCACGAAUGGCGUAAUGAUGGCCAGGCUGUCUCCACCCGAGACUCAGUGAAAUUGAACUCGCUGUGAAGAUGCAGUGUACCCGCGGCAAGACGGAAAGACCCCGUGAACCUUUACUAUAGCUUGACACUGAACAUUGAGCCUUGAUGUGUAGGAUAGGUGGGAGGCUUUGAAGCGUGGACGCCAGUCUGCGUGGAGCCGGCCUUGAAAUACCACCCUUUAAUGUUUGAUGUUCUAACGUGGACCCGUGAUCCGGGUUGCGGACAGUGUCUGGUGGGUAGUUUGACUGGGGCGGUCUCCUCCUAAAGAGUAACGGAGGAGCACGAAGGUUGGCUAAUCCUGGUCGGACAUCAGGAGGUUAGUGCAAUGGCAUAAGCCAGCUUGACUGCGAGCGUGACGGCGCGAGCAGGUGCGAAAGCAGGUCAUAGUGAUCCGGUGGUUCUGAAUGGAAGGGCCAUCGCUCAACGGAUAAAAGGUACUCCGGGGAUAACAGGCUGAUACCGCCCAAGAGUUCAUAUCGACGGCGGUGUUUGGCACCUCGAUGUCGGCUCAUCACAUCCUGGGGCUGAAGUAGGUCCCAAGGGUAUGGCUGUUCGCCAUUUAAAGUGGUACGCGAGCUGGGUUUAGAACGUCGUGAGACAGUUCGGUCCCUAUCUGCCGUGGGCGCUGGAGAACUGAGGGGGGCUGCUCCUAGUACGAGAGGACCGGAGUGGACGCAUCACUGGUGUUCGGGUUGUCAUGCCAAUGGCACUGCCCGGUAGCUAAAUGCGGAAGAGAUAAGUGCUGAAAGCAUCUAAGCACGAAACUUGCCCCGAGAUGAGUUCUCCCUGAGACUUAAAGUCUCCUGAAGGAACGUUGAAGACGACGACGUUGAUAGGCCGGGUGUGUAAGCGCAGCGAUGCGUUGAGCUAACCGGUACUAAUGAACCGUGAGGCUUAACC
This 3387-nucleotide ribosomal RNA is filed under the name Salmonella enterica subsp. enterica serovar Derby. RNAcentral describes it as "bacterial LSU rRNA". It matches the Rfam family "Bacterial large subunit ribosomal RNA". The record is from RNAcentral. Lineage: Bacteria; Pseudomonadati; Pseudomonadota; Gammaproteobacteria; Enterobacterales; Enterobacteriaceae.